UACCGCAUGACAUUAUUGAGCUGCAUGGCUUGAUAAUCAAAGGAGCAAUCCGCUGAAAGAUGGGCUCGCGUCCGAUUAGGUAGUUGGUGAGGUAACGGCCCACCAAGCCGACGAUCGGUAGCCGGACUGAGAGGUUGGACGGCCACAUUGGGACUGAGACACGGCCCAGACUCCUACGGGAGGCAGCAGUAAGGGAUAUUGGUCAAUGGGGGAAACCCUGAACCAGCAACGCCGCGUGAGGGAAGACGGUUUUCGGAUUGUAAACCUCUGUCCUCUGUGAAGAUGAUGACGGUAGCAGAGGAGGAAGCUCCGGCUAACUACGUGCCAGCAGCCGCGGUAAUACGUAGGGAGCGAGCGUUGUCCGGAUUUACUGGGUGUAAAGGGUGCGUAGGCGGCUGUGCAAGUCAGUAGUGAAAUCCAUGGGCUUAACCCAUGAACUGCUAUUGAAACUGCACAGCUUGAGUGAAGUAGAGGUAGGCGGAAUUCCCGGUGUAGCGGUGAAAUGCGUAGAGAUCGGGAGGAACACCAGUGGCGAAGGCGGCCUACUGGGCUUUAACUGACGCUGAGGCACGAAAGCGUGGGUAGCAAACGGGAUUAGAUACCCUGGUAGUCCACGCCGUAAAC
This 624-nucleotide ribosomal RNA is filed under the name uncultured bacterium. RNAcentral describes it as "bacterial SSU rRNA". It matches the Rfam family "Bacterial small subunit ribosomal RNA", at positions 167 to 807 of the family's 1533-position model. The record is from RNAcentral.